UGGCAUAAUAAAGGAGAUCAUGGGGUCAUAUUCAUCUAAUUCUCAUAGAACAGAUAGUUAACCCCAGAGGAGUGAACCUGGGAAUACAUGGCGAAUUAGCUUCCAUUAUUUGCUAAUUUACUUUGUGUUCUCAGGUCACCCCUUUGGGGCACUCUGCUUUCACUUUUUCAUCAUUCAAUCUUACUCUCGAUCUUCCCUCUAUAUUCAUGUAUAGAUGAUGCAGAUUCGUGCAACUCAAGUGUUUGCAGCAGUUUCUUUUCUGUAUACUAUAUGGAUGAUUCAGAGCUGUUUGACAGUUUUUUAUUUUCUCUAAGGAAGCCCAGACGUGAUAUUUCUAGUCAGUUUUUUAAAAUCUUAGUGAAAGAUUAGGGUUAUUAUUAUUGAGAUGGAGGGUUUCUUCAAAAAAAAAAAAAAGAAAAAGAAAAAACAGGGUUAAGUGUAUGAUCUGACUUUCAUGGUGCAAAUCAUCACCGUUCAUUCUUUUUUUAUUUAAUCCAAUGGCUGUUUCUCCUUUGACAACAGCAGAUUCGGAAAAAAUUUAGGAAUGUAGACAGCAUUUUACUUUAUGCCAAUUAUUUUUAAAAAACAAUUAUAAUUUUAAAUAUUCAUUUUAAUAGUAAGGCCCUGAACUUAAUUUGAAUUAAUUAGAGAUUAUAUUUUAAAUGAGUUAUUUUAAUUAAUUUACACAUCAUAAUAGGUUAUCAAUAAUUAUAUUGAUGAGUUAACAUUUAUAUGUAACCAAAUGAAAAUAAAUUAAUCUUUAAACAAUUGUAAUUUUUAUUAAUCUAAUACCUCAUGCUUGUGCAUUUUUUAUUUGUUUUUUAUAUUUUUUUAUACUAAUUAAUUACAUUUCUUUUUUAUUGUUCUAUAUCAUUGUUAUCAAUAUUCUGUAAUCUAUGUUAACAAAUUUUAAUAGUAUUACUAUUACAUCAUCUUAAAACAGUAUGGAUCAAAUUGUUAAAUAAGAUAAAUUUAAAAGGACAAAUCAAUAACUGAAGUGAACUUGAAAGAUUAAUAAUUUCAUUAUCUCUAUUUAAAUUGUUUGUGUGAGGUUUGUGAACAAUUUUCCCUUGCAGUUUCACUCAUUUACAAAAAAGAUAAAUAAAUUCUAUCUAAUUAAUAAAUAUUUAAAAUUAUAAUUUAUUUUAAAAAUAAGAUAAAAAAUUAAUUAUGAUUUUAACUUAGUUAAAACUCAAUCCCUAAUUAACUGAGUCAAAGUUUAAGACUUUAAUAUUAAAAAAUAUUUAAAAUUAUAAUUUUUAAAAAAAAAUAAUUAAGAUUUUUUUACACAAAAAAUAAGAUCUAACACGAGUAAAAAUAUUGACUCUCUUCCCUUUUUUCCCAAUCCCACUUGACUUUGGACAUAAUGGAUUUGGAUUCCAUGCAUGAGAGGCGUCAGAUUAAAUUAAAUCUAUGGUCACAAAUAUUUGUGCCGCUAACAAUCAGUAAAACGGUAGGUGCUUGCGCGGACUUGUAUCUCCUUUUCAAACAAUCAAUCAAACAAAAAUCAUCCUCUUUUCCAACGUACUGAAAAUUGAAUUAAUCGUUUAUCAAGCAAAACAUUAGAUUAAGACUUAAUGAUUUAAUUAAGGAUCAAUUUAAAGUCAAACUGUUCGUCAUUAAAAUAAUAUAAUUGAAUUUAUAUAUAUAAAAAUAUUUAUAUUUGAAUAUAAAAAAUAAAUAUUUAAAUAAAAAUCAUUAGCUCUGCUUAAAUAACUCAACAAAAAUUCAAUAAAUAAAGAAAAAUAUUAUACAUGUGAGUGUAAUCCUAACAAAAUUUAGUAAACUCAAUAAAAUUUUAAUAAAAAUUAAAAUAAUUAAUUAUUUUUUUUAAAUAAAUGGACUAAGUUGACCAGGGUCACUCCCAGAUUAGUCUCGAUUGACACACUACCUGAGAUAGAUUAUAAACUAAAUUGGCCAACUAACUAGUUCAUCGAAUUAUCCGUUGGGUUUUCAUUCAUUGAACAUGUAAAUAAAUAAACAAAAUUAAAUUUCAGACAUUACAGCAAAUGGCAAUCACUUGUUUUUCUCUAUCCCUCAAAGGACAGUGUGACAAAGCAAAACGAUGACAAUUGUCAAUGACUAGAAAAACGGAUGACAAAUGAACAAGCUUGUUGGUGGAAUAGAGAAAUGGGUUUCCGCGCAAUGCGAGGACUAAGGGAUGAAGGAAGAGCAAAAGGUUAAUAUCAUCUUCGCACCCACCGUUUCCAUAAUUGUUGGUGGCACAAAUAUUUUUUUACCAUAGACUUAAUCUUACAUGUCUCACGCUGCCACAUGUUGCCAUCCAUUCCAUGCUCAGGCUUCGUGGACACAUGGGAUCAAAAUCCCUCACUUUUAUGUGAGAAUGAUCGGACUUCGAGUUAGAUCAAAAUUAUGUUAGGUCAGACUUUUGCACAG
Molecule: long non-coding RNA, 2397 nt
Organism: Prosopis cineraria
Lineage: Eukaryota; Viridiplantae; Streptophyta; Magnoliopsida; Fabales; Fabaceae
Exons: 3
Source: RefSeq, a predicted model, not a curated record